GUCAGAAUGCCACGGUGAAUACGUUCCCGGGCCUUGUACACACCGCCCGUCACACCAUGGGAGUGAGUUGCAAAAGAAGUAGGUAGCUUAACCUUCGGGAGGGCGCUUACCACUUUGUGAUUCAUGACUGGGGUGAAGUCGUAACAAGGUAACCGUAGGGGAACCUGCGGUUGGAUCACCUCCUUACCUUAAAGAAGC
Molecule: ribosomal RNA, 198 nt
Filed under: Escherichia coli O157:H7 str. LSU-61
Lineage: Bacteria; Pseudomonadati; Pseudomonadota; Gammaproteobacteria; Enterobacterales; Enterobacteriaceae
Description: partial 16S ribosomal RNA
Rfam family: Bacterial small subunit ribosomal RNA
Source: RNAcentral